GGGGGCGACAGGCUUCGACAGGGGCUUGUAUAGAUCUUUGGAUGCACGUCGGGCUUUUUGUGUGGUGAGCUCGUUAAAAAAACUAUACAAAACACAAAUGCUAAUCAAGAAUUAGCUCUUGCUGCCUAGUUAACUCUAGACCAGAAGUGUCUUACCGGAAGUCAGCUUGUAGCGACCGGCCGAGGCAUAACUUAAUAUAAGCUAGGACGCGUUCACCAUCUGCGGACGCGAUCCGAAAUGUUAGCCAGGUUGGCCUAUGAAGAGGUCUUGCCGAUUUAUUUACUCUUCAUGGGCGAGAAAAAGUGAACCGGAUAAACGUGUAGAUUUCACUGGUCGCAACCUUUGGAUGCGGGUUCGAUUCCCGCCGCCUCCACCA
This 376-nucleotide transfer-messenger RNA is filed under the name Pyrinomonadaceae. Its description in RNAcentral is "OLB17 sp014379075 Standard tmRNA". It matches the Rfam family "transfer-messenger RNA". From Rfam's summary of the family: Bacterial tmRNA, also known as 10Sa RNA or SsrA, is named for its dual tRNA and mRNA-like properties. Its role is to liberate the mRNA from a stalled ribosome. RNAcentral also lists the same sequence under 2 other names. The record is from RNAcentral. Lineage: Bacteria; Pseudomonadati; Acidobacteriota; Blastocatellia; Blastocatellales.